Long non-coding RNA from Trachemys scripta elegans, 1646 nucleotides. RefSeq lists it as uncharacterized. The transcript has 3 exons. Lineage: Eukaryota; Metazoa; Chordata; Testudines; Emydidae. The record is from RefSeq and is a predicted model, not a curated record.
GAAAGGGCCCGGGGAAGGGUCUUGCUGCAGCCAGGUGGUGGGGCAGGCAGGCGGGUCACACCGCUGCUCCAGCCCUGUCCUUGCUGCACGCAGGGGUGUGUUACAGAACAGAGCGUGAAACCCCAGCCGUAGCCGGGAAGCCUGUUCCUGGCAUGCAAUAACCCCAGGCUGCCUGGCGAGAGGAGCCUCAGAAGUGUGCCUUUGGGGAACAGCGCUCCUGGCCUCAAUUGCGGGCUGUGUCCGUGAUUUUUUAUGUGCACGCUGAACCGCUCUGCUUCAUGCCACCUAUCUGUAAAUGGGAGUAAUAACAAUCAACUAUCAUAUUUCAGCAUCGUGGCUGUUCCACCGUGGUUCAAUAUGCUUUGGGCCAUAGGAGUGUGAGAACGGCUCUCGAGGGCAGGGCACUCACCUGAGUGCGAGACACCUACCGUCAAAUCCCUUCUCAGGAGGCAGAGGGAGAAACUGAACUGGCAUCUCCUGCAUCCCAGGUUCAAGAACUGAUGUGUUAGACUCCCUUACAACACAGACUGCCUCACUCCCAGUGAGAUGGACCACUUACCUGCUUUCUACUACUCUUAUUGUAACUUCUGAAGAAUAUUAUGGAAGAUUUUUAUUUUUGAGCAAAGACAAGCUGACAGAGAUAAUCUUUAAAGAAAUCUAUACAACAACUUAUUUCCCAAUGAAGGUAUUUUAAAGAAUUAUCAGAAAUUUAAACUGGAGGAUGCACAAGAGCAGAAAUAACAUGAAUUCGGGAACACCAUUAUCUCAUUUAAAAAUACAUUCUGCUUUAAUGGAGCUUAGUGAUCCAGUUAAUUAAUUUAAAUCAUUAUAAGUGAGAUUGUUAACACCAUCUAUUAUUAUGGCUGCCUGACAUUUCCCAUUAUAAGACCCUGUUUUCAGUUGCUUGUAACUUUGUGAAGCCUUACAAUUUGGGCUGAAAAUUUCUAUGCCAGGUUUCUGGCUCAGGUUGAAUUUCUCUGAAAAAUUUCAGCCAAAAUGGUUCAGCCAUUUCCAAGAAAAGGGGAAAAUAUAUUGUUUUGCUUUUGUUAAAAAAAAUUCUUUAGAUCUUUUCUUCAAAAUGCUCGUUCACCCGCAAUGCUCUGGAGGAGAGACUUGAAAUUUGGCAGGGGAGUGAGUGGCGUUUGUGUCAGUUGUAGCUUUUGCCAUCCCCAUGGAAAAAAAACACCAAUUUGACCAAGUCGUAAGCCUUUGAAAAAAUGCAGUUUGUACAUGCUCAGUCGAGACAUUUUUUAUUUUAGUAAUUAACAUCGCCAAAGAUUCUGUCCUCAUUGAGCAUCCUCUCUCAGCUCCUAGUGCUGACCAGACUGUGAAAAUGUUAUCUCCGCAGAGCAACCGAACAUGUUGCAUCCCCUCACAGCUCCUAUGUAUGACCAGACUGUGCAUGCACUAUCCCUAUGGAGAGACUGAGCAUCCUUCCUCCAGCCCAGGUCCAUGGGGCAAAGCUGGACUUUCCUUGUAGUGGCUGCUCCUGGUCCCUUUGAGCCACUGGGAUGGGCUGGCACUGGAAAUGAGAGCAGUAACCUGUUUCUUCUGUGCUCUCAAUGCUGCUGCUGCUGCCCAGACCGCUUGGAGUAGGAAGCCAGCUGAUUUGAAUGCAGAAGAGACAAGAGCCAGACAAGGAAGGA